UUGAUUACGUCCCUGCCCUUUGUACACACCGCCCGUCGCUGCCCGGGACUGAGCCAUUUCGAGAAACUUGGGGACUGCUGAUCCGGUGGCCUCGGCCUCCGCUUCGGUGGAAACCAAUUUAAUCGCAGUGGCUUGAACCGGGCAAAAGUCGUAACAAGGUAGCUGUAGGUGAACCUGCUGCUGGUUCAUUACACGUACCGUGAUGGU
RNAcentral lists this ribosomal RNA (207 nucleotides) under Nacobbus aberrans. Its description in RNAcentral is "partial 18S ribosomal RNA gene". It matches the Rfam family "Eukaryotic small subunit ribosomal RNA", at positions 1641 to 1831 of the family's 1831-position model. The record is from RNAcentral. Lineage: Eukaryota; Metazoa; Nematoda; Chromadorea; Rhabditida; Pratylenchidae.